This is a long non-coding RNA of Oreochromis niloticus (Nile tilapia), 2452 nucleotides long. RefSeq lists it as uncharacterized. The record is from RefSeq and is a predicted model, not a curated record. The transcript has 2 exons. Lineage: Eukaryota; Metazoa; Chordata; Actinopteri; Cichliformes; Cichlidae.
CAGCUGCUGGAUAGAGGGACUUUCCCAGCUGCGAGAUAAAUGACGGGAAUCUUGUCUGAUACUUUUCUGAGUUUGCUGUAAAAGUUGAACAGCUGAGCUGGUUUCAGGUGGGAUCUUUGUCCCAGCAGGUGUUAGAGCAGCGGAGGCCUCGUUAACCUAACUAUCAUGUUGCUACUUGAAGGACUGUGAGCACCUGGGGACAGGUGUCCAAUCAGCUGACAGGAAAGGUGACUCGUGUUUGCGCAUAUACUGUCGGUAACGUCAGUAGUGGAACCUCUGUGACCGCGCGCUUUGUUGCUGCCCGGACCAGACUGCAGACGCACCGUUGCUAUUGGUUUCAACGGAAGCUCCAGACGCUCUGCGGCUAAAGGCUAACCAUGGUAACGUCAGCUGGGCUGAAACGUCACAGUUUAUAUUCUGACGUUUUCAGCUUCGGCGUGUAUUGACGUCAUCGUCGCUGGGAGCUCGUGCUGUGACCUGAUCUCUGAGGAGCUAACUGAGGCUAAGAUCUAGCAGCGGGAUUAGCCGGAGGCUGCGGCGUCAGCAGUCUGAGCAGGAGCUUCUUAGCCGCUCGGCCAGCGGAGCUCAGUCCGGGAUGAGGCGCUGCAGCCGGCGGGGACGACAGCAGGAAGGCGGCCAAGCUGAUGGAGGUGUGAGGUUAUGACGGGGUCAGACUGUGUCCUGAGACGGUCCAAUCUGGACCGAGUUGCACUGGUCCUUGGAGCGCCGACGCCAUGUCGGACACGUCUGAUCCGGCUGUCGUAGAGGGACGGGCUCCUCGCUGUCCCCCUCGGCCCCCCCUGGCAGAGAAGGCGCUGUCCGAGGCCUUCGGGCGGCUGCGGUAUCGUGACACGUCACUGCUCAUCUGGCAGCAGCAGCAGCUUGAAGCAGCACCGCCCUCCACCUACCUGAGCCGCAGCCAAUCGGCCUGGUACAGUAACUAUGGCAACCAGGCAGUGCUGGUCCGAGACAGGAGGGGUGCGGACGAGGGGCGGUCCCGGAUCUGCAGCAUCAUGUAGACGCAAACGGGAGAAGUUUAGUUUGGGCGCUAAAAAACAGGGUUUUUUUAAUUUAGAGAUCUGUCCAAACAGAGAGAAGCAUUAAGAUCCACGCCCCCGUCCCUCCCCUCCCUCACCCACAGACUGCAGACAGGAAAAAAACAAACAGUAUUAAUCGUCAGCUUAGCGAGCUCCAGCGUCAGCUCUGAUGAUCAGUUUAAUGGACUUCCUGCCCCACAGGGGGUGCCCUGUGUCAGUAUCCUUAACCCUAGUGUCCUCCAUUUUGAUUUGGGGAAUGAAGCCAGCAGCACCACACUGAAACCAUCACCUUCAUCCAGCAUGCCACCAAAUGACAUUGUCCUGUUUGAAACCCUUAAGUGACCAAUCAGCACGCAGUUACAGCACACUGGUGCUUUCUGGGUAAAAUCAUUGUCACUGAGAGAAAUUGAAGGUAACGAGCAUUCAGACGUGUUACUGAUUUAUGGAAACGACGAAUAAAAUGUUAUCUUGUUUUAGCUUUGUCAUUCUUACUCAGUGAAGACUGUCUGAGAGCGCCCCCUAAUGUCAGGCCAGUGAAACUGAUAUACAAACAACAAACACCGUUCCACCAGGACGUCCGUUUUUCUGCAUGAUGAAGAAAUAUUACUGCAGUAAAUCAAAGAUUCUCUGAGCUAAUAACUGUGUUCAGACUGUGAUGAUCAAACAUCUGCUGUAACUCAGAAAACCUUUUCUUUCACAUAAGGACUUUGGUGUGGUUUGAAGCAGCAGGAAAUUAAACUCAUGAAGAAGUCCAGAAUUUGAGCCUCCCUUCACAAUUUCCCAUUCUGGCCCUCGAGCCUUAUAUUGGAGCCGGGCUUGUGUGUGUGGUGACUGUUUAUUAGUUUAGAAUUAGCUGCAUGUCGACUCUCCGGUGUGUCACGAGGGAGCAGCGGGCUCGGCUCGGCCCCGCCCACUCGGUGCAGUCCACGACGACGUCCAGCGCCAGAGCACGCCUCAGGUGGCCCUCCGAGGACUGCUCUCACUUCAUACGUUCAUCCGUUAGAGCGCACUCGGUGACAAAAGGUCGGAGCCGCUUGUUUUCAGUUUAUGUGUUUAUUUAUGAAAACAAAUGAACUCAGAAAAUAAGGAUCCCAUAUCAGUAAUUACAUCAAAUAAUUCACUUGUUGUUUCGUCCCCUCUGCGUCUCUACGAGUGGAGCUCGCUCUAACCUCAGAUGGCUACUUUACAGCUACUAUACAGCGCUCAAACAUACGCGAGAAAAACGUACGGCCGGAGUGCAUGCAAUACAUAAAACCACUGUUUCCUUUUCUUAUUAAAAUACAAAAUUAACUAUGAGCGUCGAAGCUCGACCAUCAACUAAAAACAAAGAGGAGGGUUACUGUGGCAACGAGCUGUCCGCCUAUCUGUCGCAGGGGUUUCCGAUUGAACGCUUUGCCCCGUCCGUCGAGUUGUAA